UCCGAAUUGGUGUAGUGGCUAACAUUUGACGCUCUCAGCUGUAUUCUAUGAUAUAGAACAGUGCCGUCAAGCCCGGGGUUCGAUUCCCCGAUUCGGAG
Molecule: non-coding RNA, 98 nt
Organism: Xylaria cubensis
Lineage: Eukaryota; Fungi; Ascomycota; Sordariomycetes; Xylariales; Xylariaceae
Source: the annotation of a GenBank genome assembly